GAUCAUGGCUCAGAUUGAACGCUGGCGGCAGGCCUAACACAUGCAAGUCGAACGGUAACAGGAAGCAGCUUGCUGCUUUGCUGACGAGUGGCGGACGGGUGAGUAAUGUCUGGGAAACUGCCUGAUGGAGGGGGAUAACUACUGGAAACGGUAGCUAAUACCGCAUAACGUCGCAAGACCAAAGAGGGGUCUCGGUCGCU
This 200-nucleotide ribosomal RNA is filed under the name uncultured bacterium. RNAcentral's name for it is "partial 16S ribosomal RNA". It matches the Rfam family "Bacterial small subunit ribosomal RNA", at positions 15 to 219 of the family's 1533-position model. The record is from RNAcentral.